RNAcentral lists this long non-coding RNA (905 nucleotides) under Homo sapiens (human). RNAcentral's name for it is "HSALNT0302977". Lineage: Eukaryota; Metazoa; Chordata; Mammalia; Primates; Hominidae. The record is from RNAcentral.
UCAACCUGUGAAAACAUGAGCUUCGUUAGCAACAGGGCAUGGUCUGAUCCCUGGGAAAUCUCUGGAGCUGGGAGUGGCCUCAAAGAGGAUCAUUAAAGAUCAAAAACCCCACUUGAAGUUGUUUGUUCUGCUGCAGUGUAAAUCCUCUUGGCUGAGCAGCCCUUGACAGAGUCUGCUGCCUAAACAGAAGUCUUAGACGGGUGUUUGGUUUGUUUUCUGUGGAAAUCAAGGCAAAGGUCUGAGUUCCACAUCUGAGUGCAGACCCAGGACAGUGUACACGGGAUGGCAAAGUGACUCAAACUGAAAGAACUCAGUGGAAGCAGAAACUAGGAGCCAGAGGUGUCAGGAAUAGCUCAGCCCUUCCCAGAGGCAGCAAGAGAGCAAGAAGGACAGAGGAGACUGAGCUGGCAGGUCUCUAAAUGACCUCAAGUCACCACAGCCACUGGUGCUGAAGGAAAUGGGAAAAUAGUCUCGUGACCCAGCGAGUGCUUCCCAUGCAGUCUGUCAUCUCUGGAGGCCUCAGAACCUGGUGUCACAUUACAGGGUGAAUGCCAGGGACAAGCUAAAGAGAGGAGAAGGUAUGACAUAGCUCCACCUACAUGCAAGGGGAGCCAGGAAGUGCAAUCCCUGGCUGGGCUGCCACGUCUCAGAAACCAUUAAGCCUAUGGAAGGUCUCUGGAUUUGAUGGCAAAUGGCAGCAGAAAUGUGGAAAAGAUCAAAGUGAUGUCAAGGUUGAUCUCUGAGUUUGGCAUGGCUGAACUCAAACAUCAUUUGCCAUGGACCCACAGUGUCUUCAGUAGCUGAGUGUGGUGUCAUUCCCCUAUGAUAUGUGCACUCAAUUGCUGGCCAGUUUUUGUUUUUUGUUUUUGAGAGAGUCUCGCUUUGUCUCCUAGGCUGGAGUGCAG